This 327-nucleotide ribosomal RNA is filed under the name uncultured eukaryote. RNAcentral's name for it is "partial 18S ribosomal RNA". It matches the Rfam family "Eukaryotic small subunit ribosomal RNA", at positions 1470 to 1796 of the family's 1831-position model. The record is from RNAcentral.
CCCUUAGAUGUUCUGGGCCGCACGCGCGCUACACUGACGAAUGCAACGAGCUUAUAACCUUGGCCGAAAGGUCUGGGUAAUCUCCAAAUUUCGUCGUGAUGGGGAUAGAUUAUUGCAAUUAUUAAUCUUCAACGAGGAAUGCCUAGUAAGCGCAAGUCAUCAGCUUGCGUUGAUUACGUCCCUGCCCUUUGUACACACCACCCGUCGCUCCUACCGAUUGAAUGGUCCGGUGAAGCGCUCGGACCGCGGCCUCUUGACGGUUCGCUGUCGAUUGGCUGUGGGAAGUUCGUUAAACCUUAUCAUUUAGAGGAAGGAGAAGUCGUAACA